CACAUCACGAAAGUGGAUUGUACUAGAAGUCUGCAGGCUGACCCGCAAGGGAGGGCAGCGGCCCCAAAGGGUAUGAUCCCAUGAUUGGGGGUG
Molecule: ribosomal RNA, 93 nt
Filed under: uncultured bacterium
Lineage: Bacteria
Description: partial 16S ribosomal RNA
Source: RNAcentral